UAGCCAUGGUGUGGACAUGAAUUUAUGACAUCCUUAAAUUGCUCCCAAAAUAGAAAGAAGGUAUCAUCCUCUUUUUGUGAAAAAUUCAUGAUUGUUUUCCUUAAGGUA
Magnolia sinica is the source of this 108-nucleotide small nucleolar RNA. Lineage: Eukaryota; Viridiplantae; Streptophyta; Magnoliopsida; Magnoliales; Magnoliaceae. The record is from RefSeq and is a predicted model, not a curated record.